RNAcentral lists this ribosomal RNA (478 nucleotides) under uncultured bacterium. Its description in RNAcentral is "partial 16S ribosomal RNA". It matches the Rfam family "Bacterial small subunit ribosomal RNA", at positions 28 to 507 of the family's 1533-position model. The record is from RNAcentral.
GACGAACGCUGGCGGCGUGCUUAACACAUGCAAGUCGAACGGGAUUUAGUAAACGGAAGCCUCGGUGGAAGAUUACUAAUGAGAGCGGCGAACGGGUGAGUAACGCGUGAGCAACCUGCCUAUGACAGUGGGAUAGCCUCGGGAAACCGGGAUUAAUACCGCAUAAAAUCGUAGAAACACAUGUUUCAACGGUCAAAGAUUUAUCGGUCAUAGAUAGGCUCGCGUCUGAUUAGCUAGUUGGUGAGAUAACAGCCCACCAAGGCGACGAUCAGUAGCCGGUCUGAGAGGAAGAACGGCCACAUUGGAACUGAGACACGUUCCAAACUCCUACGGGAGGCAGCAGUAGGGAAUAUUGCACAAUGGGAGAAACCCUGAUGCAGCGACGCCGCGUGAACGAAGAAGGUAUUCGUAUCGUAAAGUUCUGUCCUAUGGGAAGAUAAUGACAGUACCAUAGAAGAAAGCUCCGGCUAAAUACGUG